CCGCCGCUGCUUCCGCCGCCGCCGCCGCCACCGCCGCCGCCGCCGCCUCACAGGCCUUCUCCACCGAUCGGUCCCAAAUCGACUGACUGUCUCCUGGAAGCGGGGGCGGGGACGUCAGGAGGAUCCAUUCGGCAGGGCCUCGUUCAAUCGCUUCAUUCAAAUGCAGAAAGCUCUGUGCUCAGCUUCAGUCUGCAGGGCUUCAGGAGACGGAGCAUUUUAGUACUCAAUGAUGCCAAGACAAAAGGGUGAGAGAAAAUGGGAAACGUUCGUGGAGAUGGUCCUAGGCAGAUAGUGGACGCAACUAGAAGACCUUCAGUCUCCGGGCCGGCUUUCAGGUUGAGACAAAAACCCUAAGGCAAGCGCUUGCUGCCACAGCACAUCGACUAACACGGGAACCAUCCAGAGAAGAUCAGCACGGCCCCUGAACGUGGACGACACACGCACAUACGUGAAGAGUUCCGUAGCUUUAGUGAUGUCAGUCACCCAGAGGAAGACAGAUAUCCUAUGCCAUCACUUCUAGGUGGGAUCUGAAAUCUAUAUCUCCCAUGGAUUCUGACGACCUUGCCUGAUGAUGGCGGGUGAUGGGGGCAGAGAUCGAUCCUUCUGAGAAGUAAGUUGGCAAGCGCUUUAGUGAAGCCUCGUAGGAUUUACCCAGCGAAGCGAGUGCCUUCGUCCCUGGAGGCUGCGGAAACAGUGUCCUGGCCAUGCUGAUGGCAUCAGGCUUGCAGCGGGGGAAGGAAGGCUUCAACCCCUUUGGAAGUCAUACCUACCAUCCCAAGAACGUCUGGAUGACCCCUACUAUGUGGCAGUUGAAUGGGGGCCAGUUACUGGGGUUCAGCGGGUCCAGAGAGAGGAGGUCUGAGGCCUCUGGGGACAAAACGUUUGUACGUAUGUAUGUAUGUGUGUAUGGCCAGUUGACUGUUUUUGCGGUCCUAUAGGAAUCUUCCUGCCCCUGUCUAUUGAACAAUGGGAGUCAUCUUCCAAGUGCCCUGACACCAGACACCACGGCCAUUUGCCGAAUGGACAGAACAGACUGGGGCCACGUGUGCCACCCACCCUCUUUCCGGAGGCUGUGGUCCACUGUGUUUGCAUGAAAGUCAGUGAAGGAGGCAUCUCCUUGGGACUCGGUUCCGUCCCUUUCACGAGAGCCUCCACUUUGGAUGACAGCCAGCCAGCCAGCCAGCCCUCGAUGCCAGGGCAGUAGACGACUGCCAGGAAUAUCCCAUCCUUUCUGGAACCCUGAGUGUACCCACCUGUACAGACACAAGGCUGAAGAAUACAUGACGUUCCUUCCUA
Camelus dromedarius (Arabian camel) is the source of this 1296-nucleotide long non-coding RNA. RefSeq lists it as uncharacterized. The transcript has 5 exons. Lineage: Eukaryota; Metazoa; Chordata; Mammalia; Artiodactyla; Camelidae. The record is from RefSeq and is a predicted model, not a curated record.